Erinaceus europaeus (western European hedgehog) is the source of this 345-nucleotide long non-coding RNA. RefSeq lists it as uncharacterized. The transcript is spliced from 3 exons. The record is from RefSeq and is a predicted model, not a curated record. NCBI's taxonomy places the organism in Eukaryota, Metazoa, Chordata, Mammalia, Eulipotyphla, Erinaceidae.
UUCCACAGUGUAACCUUUGGUAAAGUGAAUGAGCUGUCAUCGAAGUGAUUUGAAGCAAAGUUUCAUUCCUAGCACAAAAAUUAUUUUAGUCUGAUGAGCCAAGAUGGAGGGUUGCCAGAACACAUCACUUUUCCCCCCAUUUACCUCUGCCAACAUUGAUUUGUGUUGGUUACUGGGACAUAAAUUUCUAAGGCAGGAUCUCACAUUCUGGAAGCCAUAGAACAACAACGGUGAAGCCAUGCAUUAUUCAUAAGUAUUUCGGGAGAAUCAUCAUGCAAAGAGGAAAGCACAGAUGAAGAUGAUGCUUCCACAAGCCAAGGACACCAAAGACUUUCAGAAACCUGU